RNAcentral lists this transfer RNA (77 nucleotides) under Candidatus Bathyarchaeota archaeon. RNAcentral's name for it is "tRNA-Tyr". It matches the Rfam family "tRNA". Rfam says of the family: Transfer RNA (tRNA) molecules are approximately 80 nucleotides in length. Their secondary structure includes four short double-helical elements and three loops (D, anti-codon, and T loops). RNAcentral also lists the same sequence under 2 other names. The record is from RNAcentral. Lineage: Archaea; Thermoproteati; Candidatus Bathyarchaeota.
CGGGCGGUAGCUCAGCCUGGUAGAGCUUCCGGCUGUAGACCGGAGUGUCGCAGGUUCAAAUCCUGCCCGCCCGACCA